Non-coding RNA from Propionivibrio sp., 124 nucleotides. The record is from Rfam. NCBI's taxonomy places the organism in Bacteria, Pseudomonadati, Pseudomonadota, Betaproteobacteria, Rhodocyclales, Rhodocyclaceae.
GAGGGUAGGUUGGUCCCUCGGUAUCGGCUUUAAGGAGCAGGCCUCAAACCACCCCAAGGUGCUGCGGUCAAGAGCCGUGGUGGUGAGCGUUGGGGCAAUAGUCCGAGAAAUACCUUGGGCAGGU